UACGUAGGGUGCGAGCGUUGCCCGGAUUUAUUGGGCGUAAAGGGCGCGUAGGCGGCUCUGCACGUCCGUUGUGAAAUCGCCCGGCUCAACUGGGCGGGGUCAGCGGAUACGGCAGAGCUCGAGCAAGCUAGGGGGCAAUGGAAUUCCCGGUGUAGUGGUGGAAUGCGUAGAUAUCGGAAGGAACGCCGGUGGCGAAAGCGAUCGACUGGACCUCUUCUGACGCUGAGGCGCGAAAGCCAGGGGAGCAAACGGG
This 253-nucleotide ribosomal RNA is filed under the name uncultured bacterium. Its description in RNAcentral is "partial 16S ribosomal RNA". It matches the Rfam family "Bacterial small subunit ribosomal RNA", at positions 524 to 776 of the family's 1533-position model. The record is from RNAcentral.